GGAGAUGCUACUGGCUUAACGCCACAAAUGAGUCAGUGUAAUUUAUCAAGUUAUUGAGUUCAUUCCUGUUUAUGUUAGGUCCAACUGAAGUGCCAGAUUUUUUAAAUCCACCCUUACUCUUUCAUUACAACACUUAUCACUGCACUUGCUGUUAACAGAUCAUCUCUUUGUUGGUGACAGUUUUUUUUGCAGGUAAGGACCUCUGAUUGUAAAUGAUUGAAAAAUAAGUUUUCCACAUUGCUUUACAGUUCAGUCAGUACUGUGUGUUGUCAGUAACAAUGAGUUUUGGACGACAGUUAUCAGAGGGCAUUCAAUAAACUUAUUGUACAAACACAAGGACACCAACAGUGAAACUUUCUACUCUCAAGUCUCGCCUUAAAAUUACGUUUUGGGAAUUUAAAAGGUCAGUCAUGCACACUGUUUACAUAGGUUUUCUAAGUAAUCGAUAAGAUCUCAACAGUGAUUCUGAAAGGCACCGAAAGUGUCUGUGAAAUCCACACAGAGACACUUAAAUUGAGCAGACAUGAUGAGAGUGGUUGGAGAAUGAACCUUUCAGGCGGCUUUUUUUUUUUUUUUUUCAUUUUUGAAUCGGCGGUAAGUGUGAAGUGGAGUUUUGAGUGACAAGGAAGUUAAAAGCAUUUUAGAAAAGGUAAAGAGAUGAGGGCUGAGAUAGAAGUGCUUGAUUUUUUUAUAUCAUUUGAGCUGCAGGAGGUGCACCCACACAAUCUUCUUUUUGGUUUAACUGGAUGGCAGAAAUAUCAAACGGUUUUGUUGAAACAGCAUACUGAGAUAAGAGAAUUUUAAUGAUUCUUGGCAGGGUUGGUGGGCUUGAAGACGUGUAUUUUCACUGAGCAUGCUGCACGGGCCUGAAAUUGAUUAAUAAAAGUGCAAAUUUUCAAAUGUUGGUCAACAGCUGGCUGUCUACCUUUGGAGUUAUGCCAAGAAAACACAAGGUUCCUGUGCUCUAAUGGAGGGAUAAGCGCAACAUUUACUCUCUCCUGCUGAGUUAAACAUUCCCCAACACUAAAGCAUAGUGUUGGAAAGGCAGUGAGAGCCUAUGUUUCACUGCAGUUAUUUGGUGGGCUCCUCCCUUAGACCCAUAACACAUUGAGAAGGCUUAUCAGUUAGCUCUGGUGUCCCAGAGUGAGCCAAGUCCCAUCACCAAUCAUAUCAACAAGCAGAGUCAAACAUCUCAUACAACAUUGCCACAUUCAUCUCUAAGCUCCAGGUAGCUCCAACCCAAAUACUUCCUGUCCUACCACAUGGUCCCCAAAGCCAGACAAACACUGAGCAAACCAGGUCUAGUUCUGGCCCAGAUUUCAUAAGAUAAGUCUCGAAGUUGGCUGAAUUCAGCCCAAUUGUCCUUUACUUGUUAUGCAGUACAGGUCAGAGGACACAAGCAGGGUUUCAUACCUUUUUAUCCACCAGCUACUGUGACUAGUGGUUUUCCAGAGUAACAAGCUGCUCAGCAUUCACACCAGCCACAAUUUUGUUCUCGGGAAAUUAAAUUUUGUAUGAUAGAAGUUGAUUGAUGAUGUGAUAUGAUAUCAUUGGAUCAGUUUUAUCAGCCUUUUAUAAGUAAAUUACAACCGUACACAUCCACAUCAAGACUGCAUCAAAUAAGGUCCUCUUGAGGGGUCGUUCUUUGACUCCUGUACCUUUUUCAAUUUCAUCAUCAGCUUUUCCCCAGAGGGUUGUCUGCUCCCCAGUUUUUGUGACUGCUGCCAUAAAGCUUCAAAGAAUAUUAAAAAAUAUAAAAUAAACUAUCCUCCCUUCACAAUGUAAUACUUUCCAUCUACUCCUUCAUUAGGUAGGUAUUUAUGAGUGCUUUCCUCUCUCUCAACUUAAAAGUAGAAAAUUAAACUAUUUUUUUCACCUUCCUUUCUUUCAGCUUUAUUAAUAUGUAAUAAAUAUUUCACUUGGUGUUACAUGUGAUCAGUGAGUUAAUGACGUCCCUUUUCUGACUGUGCAGAAUAAAAUCGUUAGAAAGGGUGUAACCCUCUGUAGGUGAUCAGACACACAAAGCAGGAUAUGAUGUAAUGCUAUGGAUGUGAAAAGAAGGGGGUGAUGAAUAUACUGAUGCAGCAUACACAGGUUGUGUUGAACAAGUGCCGCAGGUCACCAGUCUCCAAGCACAUAUCAGCAGAGUUCACAAAUGGAUCAUUGAGCAGUUGUUUAUGGGAGUUGGAGUGUCUUUAUUUCUUUAAUCAUUAUUGUUUUCUGUUAUUUUUAGGAGCCUUUAAAGGAGACGACAAGAACACAAGUUAACCUCCCAAAGUGGCAAGAAAAGUGCUUGUGUCACCCGCCACUACUGAAAUCCACCUACUUUGGUGGGUUGGUGAGUGUCAUGGUCUGACAUGGGUCCUCACAGAUGAAGACCACCUUGGUCUGUACAAAAUUAGAAAAAAAAUGUACGGCAAUGUUUAGUUGCGCUGUUUUUUUUUUUUUCUCAGUCCCAUCAAUAACAGUAGGAGGAUUUGACGGGAAAGCCUCAGGGAGAAAUUCUUGGUCUUAAGAUUACCCUGAGUGCCUCAUAGUCACUUUCUGGACAGAAAAUCUCCAAAUAAGCUUCUAAAAAGCAUUCAAACUUUGAGACACAGGAUGAUCCUUACAGUUAUAGGUAUUGUUUUUUUUACAAAUUCAAAAUGAACACAAAAACUGUAAGAUGGAAAUACUCGAAUCGAUAAAAGUUUUGGACUGGCUUUGAAAAUGGCUGAGUCUUGUUCCAGAAAAGGACUGUAGAAGUUUAGCAUUUCACUUUCUCAUCAGUUAAAAAAAGAGCAGCUAUGACAGCAGCUAUAGGUAGGAAAUGCACCAUUAAGUGAUCAUGCAGGGGAUAGAAGCCAGCUGGAAAGAGCCCCAAGAGUCGAGCUUCGCCUGGCAGUAUCUGUGACGGCACACAUGGGGCCUUUCACUCAUGACAGAUUAUCCCAGUCUGUUUCAACACAUUAAUUUGAGCUGCCAAAAUGAAGUGUGCCAAACUUAUAACACUGGUCCCCUUAAAGUACAACAUGGGAGAUCAAACCAAAGGUAUAAAAUAAGGCACAAAAAAACAUGCCCACACAGGCUUUUCUUUAUAUUUUUAAAUAUCACUCUAUGCCUGUUCCCACUGGGUUUUUCUUUUUCAUUCAUCUGAAUCAUGAAAUUAUGUGCCUGAUGUUCAGCCCACUGAUCAUGCCUGCAAGUUACUAAUGAUGGCUUUCAACGUACCCACUGGGCCAUUUUGCACAUCACAGGACUAGCAUUUAGUUUAGUUUUGAAGAUAAAUGGAGGAAGCAUAGCAGCAAUUUCUCCCUCUGUGACUUUGGCAUGGUGGGUUUUAAUUGACAGAAGUACAUGCAGAAAAUAACUCUGAGGGCAGAAGGUAACCGACGCAAAUGGUACCAUUGGUUUUAAGCCAGUAGAGGACAUUUUCAAAUGUAUUUCAUAAACAUGCUGGCUUCUUUUCAGCCAUGCAGUAAGUGGCUGUGUUAUAUUCAUGCGAGGUAAGAGGUCGGGUCAGUCGAUGUCAUGAAUUAUUCUUGUUUAUUAUUUCUUGUUUGGGUACCUCAGUGGUAAUGUUCUGUUUUGUGUUGUACUUCUUGCUACAUUUGUCAUGGACCUAAAAAAAAAAACUGAAUUGCUGUUAGUUUAGCAGACCCUGCAUUUCCUUCACAACAAAAAAAAAAAACAUUCGAGAGCAACUUUCAGAGACAAACUACAUCAACAAAGCAUGAAAAAGACGAGCAGUAAGGCUAACCUUCCAGCUUCUGGGUGGGUUUGACGCUGACGGAGCGGCCUGGUGGGUUCAUCCUUUAGUACUGUUACAACAGGACGUCAAAAUCUGCGGAUAGAUUGAGUCUAAGUCUUAAUAGUGCUUCGUUCCAGUUACCGCGGAACUCGGAUGCUGGAGCUGAGAAUGACGCUACACCCGAGUUGACGGCGUUCCAGUAAACAAGUCAGAAAAUCAGGGUGAAAUCCCACUGUUAGCUAUUGUUAGCUGUCGUUUACAAUUUUCAGCUGUCGUUGGCCAUUGUCAGUAGUUGUUAGCAGUUGUCAGCUGUUGUUAGUUGUUGUUAGCGAUACCUAUUUUAAACUUCACAUAACACAAUAUUUUACUGUUCACAGGUAGACGUUGGGCUGUACAAGAUAUACCACUUCUUUAAUUUCACAAAAACAAAACAGAAGUGCUUAUAAAUAAUACAUGACAAGAGCUUUCACUGUUACUCUUUACUGUUGAUGCACUGGGCUGCCAUCUUGGAUUAUGAUGUUGUCGUCAAGACGGGGUUGGUGAGGAUCGUCCAACUUUCUGAUUCGGAAAUCCGACUUCAGAGGUGCGUUCCAGGUUAACUUCUGACUCGGAGCUUGGAAAUUCCGACAUCCAAGAACAACUGGAACGCAGCAUUAGUGCUCAGAGAGGUCGUAAAUCAAGGAUGAUGCUGCCAUUCCUGUAUCUCAUGUUUUUGCAUAGGUUAAGAAUGGAUAGCCAAUCUUCAUGUUAUAUAAAUGCAUUUAAACACAGCUCAGCAUAAUUUGUUUCCUUUAAAAACACUUUAAAGACUUUGUCUUUAGGUCCAGUUGGAUAUUUGUCUGAAGUCAUUAGAUCUUUCCCCUUGUGUCUGCUGAUACCAGUUUAGCUGUGGUGAUAAUUAGAUAUCGUCAUAUGUCUUUCAUGUCAGGUUUCUGUAGCAUCCCUUCAGUGCAUUAAAGCACUCUUUCUUUCUGUUAGGUGUUAUAAUGAUAAAGUUUCAAACAGUCUAUUUCAUUUCUUUAUGACUUGCAUAACAUAAAAGCGCUCCUUCUGAACUCUUCGUCACAGGUAGAACAUUGAAUGCGAUGUCUGGGUGGAGUUUUUGAUGUUAGCUCUACACAGGAAGCUGUCAGUGUUAAUGAGUGUAUUGAGCAUUCAUCAAAAACUCCUCACUCCUCUCUGAGCUUUUUUAACCAGUAGAGGGUCUUUAACACCCCUGCUGUCUUCUUUUGUUACUCAUGCCUCAGCAGGAACCUGUAACGGGUUCACGACUGCCGGAUUUCUGUGAUUAGCGUCACCUUUUCUAAAAACUGUGAUCUCUAACUUCGUCAUUCAGCCGUAAAAAUGACACUAUCAAUUUGUCAAUUUAGAUAUUCAGACCUAUUAUUAGCACAACACUGAAAUGGAUUUGGGUGUGCCUGAUUUAUCACAGCUCAUUAUAAAAGUUGUGAAAGACAACCUCUGAGAUCACACAGAACUUUUUUGAGCAGAAAAGUAAAGUUGGCUCUGCAGGGAUGCUUUUAAACUAUUAACACGUGCAGUCUGUUCUUUUUGUAGAUCAGUGGACCUAAAACUUCCUCUGUCAUGCUCCCACACUGAGCCCAGACUCUCUACCCCACAGAAAGAAGAAGUCAGAUAAAUUAAAGAUAUAUCCAUCAUGUCCGCGGAAGAAUGUCUGACUUGGACUAAGGAUCAGUCCUCUGGAGUACCUCAGUAGAACAGCAGGGACAACACAGCAGCAUGGUAUUGUGAGAGAGUCCGAACUUUAUCAUCCAACUGAGAGUGGACUCCAGAUAUUACAUAGGUUAAAUGGAUGAUACAAAGAAAUAAUACACAUUUAAAUACUUAUACUACAAUGAAACCAAUAUCUGAUUGAUUGAGUCAUUUUGAACACAAAAAACAUUUGAAAACAGUAAUGACUUUAAUUUUCUGCCAUAAAAAGACAUCAGGGUUCUGACCUUUCAUCAAGUUUAACUCCACUAAAACAAUUGAGGGCAAAAAUGACAAAAAAUAAUGAAAAUCAAAAGGCAUUUUAUUUUUAAAGCCUAAAAUAGCUGCUAAAAUCAACACUGUGACCAGGUCAUGGACAUUCACUUCCUUUGUCAUUAAUCAUUUCAAUUUUGAUAAUGGAAAAAAGCACUUUUUCAUCUCAUCACUGCAAAACAUUGACUGCCUUUUUAAAAAAUGAAAAAAUGACAUCAUAUUUCUACCAAAAACUUUAUAGUUUAAGUUUUAACAAACCUCCAGGUGACAUCAGAUUUCUUCACCAUAUUGUGUUUUUUUUUUAAUUCAAUUUCACCAUUUUGUGACACUGCUUCGUCAGUCUGUGUGCAAUUUAAAAAAUAAAGAAAACUGAAAUUGUGUUUGCAAUCGCUUCACUGAAAGGCGCAACUCAACGUUUAUCAACAGUUUUUGGUCACAUUGACAGAUUGUUACUCUUUUAUUUUCCUUUUCGAAGAGUAAAAAAGCCCCAGAUUUUUACUCACUUUUCCAGAGGGAUUGUGAGGUUUCUUGCACCAAGCUGAAUAGAGCUUUGUUGCCACUGCUUUUACAAAAUGAUGUGCCUGCUGGCAGGAUUUGAUAUAUUUUUGGUGAAAAAAACAAGUGGUUUACAGACAUGACUGAGGUGUAGCUUUCGGGGGUUGUUGUAAUCUGUUGAGUCUCAUACUGCCAACAUUUUCAGACCCAAAAAAACAGACUCGCCUCUCCUCAUUCACUGUGAACCCAAGUACCCACAAACCAAUGUAAUUCAUGAGGAAUUAAGUUCAGUAAAAUCCUGCCACUUCUGAUGUGAUAUAUUAUUUGUUUGAGUCUGUUGAUCAAUUAGAUGCUGUGUCUAUAAUCAGCUGACCUGCAAAAGGGCCAAUCAGAAGCCAGGCUCACCUGUCUCAGUAGAGCAGUGAAGGUUACAAAACUUAAAAGGACUGAAAUUUUGGAUGUUGACACAGAAAACUUGUACAGGGUUACCUUUUUACAACACACAAAAUCCACAGAUAUUAAAAAAUGAAUGACGAAAUAAUGCAUUAAUAAGCAGAAUUGAUCAUGUUUUGUACUUUGACCCUGUAAUUCCAAUCCCUACCCCCAGCCCACCCCUUUGUUGUGUGGGGAGAGCAACACACCUCAAGCUGCACGUAUCUGAGAACAUCUGAACACCCAAAAGCAACUACUUAUUAGCAUGUGCCGGUUCACUAGAAGAAAAUGACUGGUGCUUAAGUUGAAUAUUAAUCAGUAAACAGCUCAGCAGCAGCUUCUAGUAUUUAUAGCUCUUCCUGUCGUCUCUGAAUUUGAAUGAUUUUGAUUUAUUGGCUUGUAUUUCCAUCUGCUCACAGUUUAAGUCUCCUCUGUUUUAUGUGUCGUGUUUCAUUCUUUUGAUUCAUAUUAGACUGACAGGUAAAAUGCAGCAAAGAAAAAUAUCCUUUGAGAUGGAAGAGAUGGCAAAGUAGGACAAGGUGAGCACUGACAGCAAGGACAAACAGGAACCUUAAUGGUUACAAAGUGUCUUUACAGUUCAAAGAAAACUUUCUGAGAGUUUAUAAAAGCAGCAGGUUUUUUUCCCAGGAUGACUUAAGCUCCUUUUUGACUAAGAAACAAAACCAUGGAUCAAAAUGAUUGAGCAUUUUGAUCCUACUCCCUCAUUAGAUGUGUUGCUUUAGAGCUUCAGCAGCAUAAGUAUUUCCUCCCUACAGCGCUGUGUAACUUUAAAUCUGCAAAUGCCAAUACCAACCGUACCAUCCAAUAAUAAUGACACUAAUAUCCUCCAUCCACCUUCUUCCACUUAGCCAUUCAGACUCAUUUAUUCCCUCCUAGAUGAUCAUUUAGCACCUAUUAACUCAAGAUCCUCAUCUGUAAUGACCACUCAAUUAUCAUUUUCACUCCCAUUCUACUUAGGCUCAGCAAGGUUAAGUAACGCCCUGCACCUGUGACAAACCCAGAAUGGGCUAUUGUUGGUAAUUAACACAGCAAUAUAUUCAGCCACGCCUAACGGGUCUCUUUAUUCUCACCUUCAUCCAUCCACUGUCAUUUUCCCCCCACUCACAACCCUGAAAGAGGAGCAUCACCCUCUUUAGUCUGCUGGCCAUGUCAUCCUACACCUAAACGGCA
Non-coding RNA from Xyrichtys novacula (pearly razorfish), 7831 nucleotides. Lineage: Eukaryota; Metazoa; Chordata; Actinopteri; Labriformes; Labridae. The record is from the annotation of a GenBank genome assembly.